RNAcentral lists this ribosomal RNA (497 nucleotides) under uncultured bacterium. RNAcentral's name for it is "partial 16S ribosomal RNA". It matches the Rfam family "Bacterial small subunit ribosomal RNA", at positions 28 to 507 of the family's 1533-position model. The record is from RNAcentral.
GAUGAACGCUGGCGGCGUGCCUAAUACAUGCAAGUCGAGCGAACAGACGAGGAGCUUGCUCCUCUGACGUUAGCGGCGGACGGGUGAGUAACACGUGGAUAACCUACCUAUAAGACUGGGAUAACUUCGGGAAACCGGAGCUAAUACCGGAUAACAUGUUGAACCGCAUGGUUCAACAGUGAAAGACGGUCUUGCUGUCACUUAUAGAUGGAUCCGCGCCGCAUUAGCUAGUUGGUAAGGUAACGGCUUACCAAGGCAACGAUGCGUAGCCGACCUGAGAGGGUGAUCGGCCACACUGGAACUGAGACACGGUCCAGCCUCCUACGGGAGGCAGCAGUAGGGAAUCUUCCGCAAUGGGCGACAGCCUGACGCAGCAGCGCCGCGUCAGUGAAGAAGGUCUUCGGAUCGUAAAACUCUGUUAUUAGGGAAGAACAAAUGUCUAAGUAACUAUGCCCGUCUUGACGGUACCUAAUCAGAAAGCCACGGCUAACUACGUG